UACGUAGGCAGCGAGCGUUGUUCGGAGUUACUGGGCGUAAAGGGUGUGUAGGCGGUUCUCUAAGUUUGGUGUGAAAUCUCCCGGCUCAACCGGGAGGGUGCGCCGAAAACUGGGGGACUCGAGUGCGGGAUGGGAGAGUAGAAUUCCUGGUGUAGCGGUGAAAUGCGUAGAUAUCAGGAGGAAUACCGGUGGUGUAGACGGCUCUCGGGACCGCCACUGACGCUGAGGUGCGAAAGCGUGGGGAGCAAACAGG
This 253-nucleotide ribosomal RNA is filed under the name uncultured bacterium. RNAcentral's name for it is "partial 16S ribosomal RNA". It matches the Rfam family "Bacterial small subunit ribosomal RNA", at positions 524 to 776 of the family's 1533-position model. The record is from RNAcentral.